GGGCAGGAUGUGUGAAGUAGGCCCACCCCCAAGCGGGUUGUCCUUCUUCACUUGCCCUUAUUCGCACCUGCGGUGCUCAACGGGAAUCCUGCCCUGCGGGGCC
Regulatory RNA element from Alcaligenes sp. EGD-AK7, 103 nucleotides. It matches the Rfam family "traJ-II RNA". NCBI's taxonomy places the organism in Bacteria, Pseudomonadati, Pseudomonadota, Betaproteobacteria, Burkholderiales, Alcaligenaceae. The record is from Rfam.